This 253-nucleotide ribosomal RNA is filed under the name uncultured bacterium. RNAcentral's name for it is "partial 16S ribosomal RNA". It matches the Rfam family "Bacterial small subunit ribosomal RNA", at positions 524 to 776 of the family's 1533-position model. The record is from RNAcentral.
UACGUAGGGUGCGAGCGUUAAUCGGAAUUACUGGGCGUAAAGCGUGCGCAGGCGGUGAUGUAAGACAGAUGUGAAAUCCCCGGGCUCAACCUGGGAACUGCAUUUGUGACUGCAUCGCUGGAGUGCGGCAGAGGGGGAUGGAAUUCCGCGUGUAGCAGUGAAAUGCGUAGAGAUGUGGAGGAACACCGAUGGCGAAGGCAGCCCCCUGGGCUGAGAUUGACGCUCAGGCACGAAAGCGUGGGGAGCAAACAGG